GUUUUGUUUUAUCAAAAAAAAAAAAGUGUGAAAUACAGAGUAACUGAGAUCUUCUUCAACCUAUCUUCUUCAACCUAAUUUCAGUUUUCUGGCGGAAAAACUUUGAUACAAUCAGCAAGUUUGCUUGGGAAACGUGAAUAUUAGAUUGAAAUCUCGUUUCCCAUUCGUUUCUGGGAUGAAUUCAGUUUCAAACACGUCUCCAUUUUUCUGAAACGGUUCCGAAACGCGUUUCCCGGUUUCCCCGUUCCAGGACGUUUCGGAAACGGUACUCCGUACAUCAUAGUCUACCACUCACACAGUCCCUCUUCUCCGCUCUCCACUCUGCCCCGGGUGAAUGAGGUGAAUGGUUACCAGAAUUAUGAUGCAGGCAAUGUGUAGAAGAACUAAGUGUACUAUCUUCAAUUCAUUCCAUUUCCAAUCCAUUCCACGGAUUUCUUACGAUGUGAACAAUUUAUCUCAAUAUUCAUCAAAUUUUCAUACUUUUCUGCAAUACCCAUCAAAGAACGUAUAUUAUUAUAAGCCAUUGGAAUCUAGUAUCUUCUGGGUUUCCGAGGGUGUUACCAGAUGGUUGAGUGUUAGGCACUUGAGCAAUGCAUCUGUUGGGGUAAAAGAUGAUAAUGGUGUUGUUAGGUUUUCUUUCGGUGAAAAGGGUGAUACAAGAGUUUCCCCUGGAGAAGGAAAAAGGAUAAUGGUGAAAAAGAAGAAGUCAAAAAAGGCCAAGGUGAAUGAAUUGAGGUUUUACCGCCUUAUGGCGAAGAAGAAGAUGAAUUCUUCGAAUCCUGAAGUUAGGAUUAGAUAUAAACUGGAAAAGGCAAAGCGAAAGGAAGCUUGGCUGAUUGAGAAACUGAGAAAAUUUGUGUUACCUAAGGCUCCAGCUGAAACAUAUGAUCCUGAAAGUUUAACUGAGGAAGAGAAAUUUUAUCUGAAACGCACUGGUGAGAAGAAAAAGAAUUAUGUUCCUGUUGGGAGACGUGGAGUCUUUGGAGGAGUUGUGCUCAAUAUGCAUCUGCAUUGGAAAAAGCAUGAAACAGUCAAGGUUGUUUGCAAACCUUGUAAGCCUGGGCAGGUUCAUGAAAUUGCGGAAGAGAUUACCAGGCUCAGCAAAGGUAUUGCUAUUGAUAUAAAGCCUGACAACACUAUAAUAUUUUACCGUGGGAAGAAUUAUGUGCAACCAGAAGUAAUGUCUCCUCCUGAUACACUGUCAAAGGCAAAGGCCUUAGAGAAGUAUCAGCAUGAACAGUCUCUUGAGCAUACAAGUCAAUUCAUCGAAAAGUUGGAGAAGGAGCUCGAAGAGUAUCAUGAGCAUGUAGAUCGGUAUGGGAGAGGGAAAAAUAAUGCACCAAAAGAUUCUACUGCACUUGAUUAAUGGUAAUUUUUAUUUUGUAUGUGAUUAUAGUCUUUUACCUUGACUGACACUGUUAUUACCUGUUUGCUUACUGUAUCUUGGUUGUGAGGAGAUUUAACUAGAAAUUACUUUUCAACUCUAUAGUCUGUACAAACUAUGUCUUUUGAUACUUGAGACUUGAGAGGCAUAAAGGGUGUAUGAGAAAAAAAAGCAACAGUUAGAAGAAAUUGGAUCAUUUCACAUUUCAUAUUUGGUUACUUGGGAGGCAAGAUAGGUUGCUAAACUUAAUUCUUCUGAAUGGUACUAGCACAUAAAAUUGAAAGUUACUGGGUGCUCUCCAAUCUUACUGAAGACCUUAGUUUGGUCUCAUAUAUUGUCGUUUCGGAUCUGAACUUCUACAACUUUUUUGGUGAUGUCAUAUGGGAUGCUGGUGUUCUCCCUACUAGUCUAUAAUGUACUCCUGGUUACUGGAAAGACUGAACGGAUUUGGGAAAACUGAAACCUCGUAGCUUGAACGUAUUAGCGUAUAACAAUUGUUUGUUACUCAUGCUCUCCAACCAGUCUUUUAGGUGUAGAACUUGGAAUUUGUCAGAUACGGAGUAGUCGUUAUGGUUCCAAAUCAGUAGAGAUACUUUAAUUAGUCUGGCAUGUUGAGUUCUGAUUUAUGGGUUCCUAGUGGCAGAAUUUGUUGGGGGAAUCCUUCAUGUUUAACCUGGGCUCCCUGGUUCUAUAAUUGAACUUUGAUAAUUGUUUCCAGUUUUACUUUUUUGAUCACGGCAUUUUUAUGUUGAUUCUUGGGUCUAAAAUGUUACUGAAGGUUGAGCUCUUGUAGGUUGACCUGUCUGUUGUAAACUUGUAAAAGGUGAAACUGUGCUAUGAACUAAGACAAUUCUUAGCUAAUCUCUCUUGAACUAGAUCAGUAGAACAUAAUGAAGAAUCGAUGAAGAAUUUAAUGGAAAAUUACUAAGAUAUGAUUGUAUUGAUGACAAACACAGAUUACAACCUACCGAACAUUCGUGAGCUUUGCCUUCUCCCGAGUAACAAUUUUUAUCUUUAACAUGAUAAUCCCUUCCUAAUGUUCUCCUAUUUAUGUAUUGCUAAUCUAACUCACUUAUUUUUCUCUUCAAGAUAUUAUUAACUGAAUUAUAUUGUACUACCUAAUAUUCCCCUCCCCCUGUUUGCCAGUUGAUUCAGCAAACUGCUCAGCUUAACAUAAAAGGCCUAAUCUUGUUUAUAAAUCUGGAAAUGAACUGAGAUAGACGUAAGAGCUUUUUUUAAGAUGAUGUAGAUAAUACACUACAUAUUCCUCAAUGACAUGCCCAGUGCUAUUAGUCUCACUUAUCCUAAGAGGUACUGUUAGGUCAUUUCUUAGGCAUAUCCUUCACAUGAAAAUGGUAAACUAUUUGUGCCUAUUACGUUAAAUGGAAUCUUCUUUUGAGUUCCUGAAUUUAUUGGUCCAUUGUAUCUACGAAAUAUAUGUUUUACCAAUUACUUCUUUACUUUACAAUGUCAAAGUCAGACCUAUUACAGAAAGAAGAAGUUACAGAGUGGCAUUACUGAAAUGCAAGAAUGAGAAAUAGAUAGUGUUAUAUGCUAGACAGCUCGAUCAAUAAAAGUUAGGGUGAGCCUUCCCCACGAAGGUUCAGUUUUUCCCUCAAUCUAUAUUUGAAGCUGUUUUUUUUAUUCCAUUUUAGUUCCAAUAUGUUUUGUACUCCCUCUGUCCCUUAAUACUCGCACCGUUUUGACUUUUUACACUAUUCACAUAAUUCACUUUGACCCUAUUUUAUUUCUAGUAUAUGAAAACAAAUGUUACUAUAUAAUAUAUUGUUGACUUCAUCUUAAUAUAUAUUUUCAAAAUAUUAAUAUUUUUAUAAAUUUUUAUAAUAUGUAGUUAAAGAUAUUGGUGGUCAAAGAUGUGCAUUGGCAAGCGUGUCCAGUCGAAACGGUGCGAGUAUUAAGGGACGGAGGGAGUACAAUUUAUCUGCAAUAGGUAGUGACUGAUAUUAUCUAGAAGACAAAUUAGGUAGAUGUAGUAGAAUGGUUAUAAAUACUGGCACAUUAGGUUAUGGGAGGUAGGUUGAGUAUUUGGUAAAGCUUAGGCUUUAUACUUGGAGAUUGGAGGCCUCAAGUCAUUACCUUUUGUAUCCCAUUUUGUGUUCAUCAUCUUUCAAACAAAUUAAUAUAUUUUCUUUACAUUGUGCAGGAGUAUAAGUCUUGAUAUGAAAAUCUAGUAACUGGAUAAUAUAAAGAAAUUGGUUGUUUUUGGGUUUAACCUUUUGGUAUAUUAUGUGGUGAAAACUCUUGUUUAACAUGGUUGAAACUGCGGUGCAUCAAUUCAGCGCUGCAGCUAGAAGAUGCUCUGAUGUAUGCAAAACCUGUCGAAAUGCCAAGCAUACCCUUACUUCUCUUCGCUAAAUCUCUCCUCCCCAAAACACUGACAAAAACAAAACAAAAAAAGUAAAAAAAAAGAGGAAAAGGUUGCAGGUUAAGGGAAUCAUACUGAGUUUCUGCAUGGUUUGUGUUGUAUCUCUUGCUACCAAGCAUGUUUCUAUUUGUUUUAAUUUUUUUACUGUUUUUUUAAUUUCAACUGAUACUCACAUCUGUUGGUUGUAAUAGGCGAAUAAGGUGAUAAUGUAAAGGAGUUCAUAAAAACAUUUGCUUGCGAGUGGAGAAUCUGAAGAUGCAACAACUGCAUUCACCAGUAUAUAUUUCCACAACUAGUCAUCUGCUUAAAGACAUUGUAUCAUUUAUCAAAUGAGAGAUUUGUGUUGGGUGGAGGGAGGAAAUUGAUCGUUCGAGAGACCAGUGUAAGGCUGAAGAUGCAUCUACAGGUUCACACCAAAAAAAACAGACAGGAACAUGUAACGAACUUUUGGUGCAAGAUAUGGGCCCCAUUUUGAACUUUUUGGCCCGGACCAGCACGAUGCAGGGUGGGCUUGGUGCGGCCCGUGGGCUCGACCCGAAGCCAUGUUUAUACAGGUGGAACCAAGUUAACGUGGAAAUGCAUUCAGUGCCUAUACAAUUGGGAAAAACCGAAAAUGGAUUUAUCAUUGCGUUAGGCUAGAUUAUGUGAUCGGGUACAAGUACAACUCAUGUUAAGCGAAUAGUAUGUUGAAGAGCUUUCCUGGGUUCUACAUUGAUGAUAUCGCUAGAGAGUUGGAGUCCUUAGUUAUGCUCACAGAGGUCAAGUUAAGUUUUCACAUUAGAUUAUGCUUUAGUAUGAUGCUGUUCUUGUAAAAUUAUACAUUACAGAGUAACAUACCAUUAAUGUAAUUUAUUAUGACUAUGAAACAGUAAAUAGUUGGUUGUUUCACAUGUGAAAAGGGGAGGAUGCUUGAGUCUCAGACAA
RNA transcript from Spinacia oleracea (spinach), 4694 nucleotides. RefSeq lists it as uncharacterized. NCBI's taxonomy places the organism in Eukaryota, Viridiplantae, Streptophyta, Magnoliopsida, Caryophyllales, Amaranthaceae. The transcript is spliced from 6 exons. The record is from RefSeq and is a predicted model, not a curated record.